GACGAACGCUGGCGGCGUGCUUAACACAUGCAAGUCGAACGGAAAGGCCCUGCUUUUGUGGGGUGCUCGAGUGGCGAACGGGUGAGUAACACGUGAGUAACCUGCCCUUGACUUUGGGAUAACUUCAGGAAACUGGGGCUAAUACCGGAUAGGAGCUCCUGCUGCAUGGUGGGGGGUGGAAAGGUUCGGCGGUUGGGGAUGGACUCGCGGGUUAUCAGCUUGUUGGUGGGGUAGUGGCUUACCAAGGCUUUGCCGGGUAGCCGGCCUGAGAGGGUGACCGGCCACAUUGGGACUGAGAUAGGGCCCAGACUCCUACGGGAGGCAGCAGGGGGGAAUAUUGCACAAUGGGCGGAAGCCUGAUGCAGCAACGCCGCGUGCGGGAUGACGGCCUUCGGGUUGUAAACCGCUUUCGCCUGUGACGAAGAGUGAGUGACGGUAAUGGGUAAAGAAGCACCGGCUAACUACGUG
This 468-nucleotide ribosomal RNA is filed under the name uncultured bacterium. RNAcentral describes it as "partial 16S ribosomal RNA". It matches the Rfam family "Bacterial small subunit ribosomal RNA", at positions 28 to 507 of the family's 1533-position model. The record is from RNAcentral.